UGAGGAAUAUUGGGCAAUGGGGGCGACCCUGACCCAGCCAUGCCGCGUGAGUGAAGAAGGUUUUCGAAUUGUAAAGCUCUUUCGGAUGUGAAGAUAAUGACGGUAGCAUCUAAAGAAGCCCCGGCAAACUUCGUGCCAGCAGCCGCGGUAAUACGAAGGGGGCAAGCGUUGUUCGGAAUUACUGGGCGUAAAGGGAGUGUAGGUGGAUGUGUAAGAUAGCGGUGAAAUGCCGGGGCUCAACCUCGGAAUUGCCAUUAUAACUAUGCGUCUAGAAUUAUAGAGAGGAUAGUGGAAUACCCAGUGUAGAGGUGAAAUUCGUAGAUAUUGGGUAGAACACCGGUGGCGAAGGCGACUAUCUGGCUAUAUAUUGACACUGAGGCUCGAAAGCAUGGGGAUCAAACA
Molecule: ribosomal RNA, 402 nt
Filed under: uncultured Alphaproteobacteria bacterium
Lineage: Bacteria; Pseudomonadati; Pseudomonadota; Alphaproteobacteria
Description: partial 16S ribosomal RNA
Rfam family: Bacterial small subunit ribosomal RNA
Source: RNAcentral